Molecule: long non-coding RNA, 343 nt
Organism: Mastomys coucha (southern multimammate mouse)
Lineage: Eukaryota; Metazoa; Chordata; Mammalia; Rodentia; Muridae
Exons: 3
Source: RefSeq, a predicted model, not a curated record
UCAGAAGGCUGAAUUCUCUACAGCUCUUCCUGGAGUCUCACAGAAGUGAUAAUGCAGCCAAGAAGAGCCAUGUGAGGAAGCCAAAAGGCAGAACAAGGAAAGCUCGUAGCCCCGAAGGGAGCCUUUCUAAGGUCUCAACAAAAGCAGCUUAAAUAUGGAAGAGUUCAUUUAGCUCACAGUUCCAGUGUGGAGAAACCUUGCUAAUAGUCUACCAUUGUCUGGCCAUCCAAAACCCUGUUCGUCGACUCUGUUCCCUUCAUCCUCAUGGGCCAGUGGCCAACAACCCCAUGAGACAGAGACCCCAUAAGAAGGGAAACAGACCCACAUGCUCCACCAUGUUCGU